RNAcentral lists this ribosomal RNA (464 nucleotides) under uncultured bacterium. RNAcentral's name for it is "bacterial SSU rRNA". It matches the Rfam family "Bacterial small subunit ribosomal RNA", at positions 30 to 507 of the family's 1533-position model. The record is from RNAcentral.
AUUGAACGCUGGCGGCAGGCCUAACACAUGCAAGUCGAGCGGUAGAGAGAAGCUUGCUUCUCUUGAGAGCGGCGGACGGGUGAGUAAUGCCUAGGAAUCUGCCUAGUGGUGGGGGAUAACGUUCGGAAACGGACGCUAAUACCGCAUACGUCCUACGGGAGAAAGCGGGGGAUCUUCGGACCUCGCGCCAUUAGAUGAGCCUAGGUCGGAUUAGCUAGUUGGUGAGGUAAUGGCUCACCAAGGCGACGAUCCGUAACUGGUCUGAGAGGAUGAUCAGUCACACUGGAACUGAGACACGGUCCAGACUCCUACGGGAGGCAGCAGUGGGGAAUUUUGGACAAUGGACGAAAGCCUGAUGCAGCAACGCCGCGUGAGGGAUGAAGGCCUUCGGGUUGUAAACCUCUUUUAGCAGGGAAGAAGCGAAAGUGACGGUACCUGCAGAAAAAGCACCGGCUAACUACGUG